This 431-nucleotide ribosomal RNA is filed under the name uncultured bacterium. Its description in RNAcentral is "partial 16S ribosomal RNA". It matches the Rfam family "Bacterial small subunit ribosomal RNA", at positions 29 to 507 of the family's 1533-position model. The record is from RNAcentral.
AACGAACGCUGGCGGCAGGCUUAACACAUGCAAGUCGAACGCCCCGCAAGGGGAGUGGCGCACGGGUGAGUAACGCGUGGAUAUCUGCCUUUUGGUUCGGAAUAACCCCGGGAAACUGGGGCUAAUACCGGAUGGUUCCUACGGGAUAAAGAUUUAUCGCCAAAAGCUGAGUCCGCGUACGAUUAGCUGGUUGGUGAGGUAAUGGCUCACCAAGGCGACGAUCGUUAGCUGGUCUGAGAGGACGAUCAGCCACACUUGGACUGAGACACGGCCCAGACUCCUACGGGAGGCAGCAGUGGGGAAUAUUGGGCAAGGGGGGCAACCCUGAUCCAGCCAUGCCGCGUGAGUCAUGAAUGCCGUCGGGUUGUAAAGCUCUUUUGGCGGGGACGAUGAUGACGGUACCCGCAGAAUAAGCCCCGGCUAACUUCGUG